RNAcentral lists this ribosomal RNA (478 nucleotides) under uncultured bacterium. Its description in RNAcentral is "bacterial SSU rRNA". It matches the Rfam family "Bacterial small subunit ribosomal RNA", at positions 34 to 507 of the family's 1533-position model. The record is from RNAcentral.
CGCUGGCGGCAGGCCUAACACAUGGAAGUCGAGCGGCAGCGCGGGGGCAACCCUGGCGGCGAGCGGCGGACGGGUGAGGAAUACAUCGGAAUCUGCCUUGUUGUGGGUGAUAACGUAGGGAAACUUACGCUAAUACCGCAUGAGACCGUAAGGUGAAAGUGGGGGAUCGCAAGACCUCAUGCUCCUGGAGCGGCCGAUAUCUGAUUAGCUAGUUGGUGAGGUAAAGGCUCACCAAGGCGACGAUCAGUAGCUGGUCUGAGAGGAUGACCAUCCACACUGGGACUGAGACACGGCCCAGACUCCUACGGGAGGCAGCAGUGGGGAAUAUUGGACAAUGGGCGCAAGCCUGAUCCAGCCAUGCCGCGUGCAGGAUGACGGUCCUAUGGAUUGUAAACUGCUUUGUACGGAACGAAACGGUGAGCUCUAAUACAGUUUGCUAAUGACGGUACCGUAAGAAUAAGCACCGGCUAACUACGUG